Molecule: long non-coding RNA, 1711 nt
Organism: Phyllopteryx taeniolatus (common seadragon)
Lineage: Eukaryota; Metazoa; Chordata; Actinopteri; Syngnathiformes; Syngnathidae
Exons: 4
Source: RefSeq, a predicted model, not a curated record
UGUCAUUGUCUCUGUCUGUCCCACGUCUUCGAUCCCAAUCAUGGUUUGUUUCCAGUUUUAGGUUUAUUCAAGUGUUUCUUUGUUACUUUGGCUAUCUGUUGUGGGACUUUGUUUAGUUUGCUUUUUCCAUGUACAUUGUUUGCCUUUUUUUGGGAAAUUAAAUAUCAUUUUUGGAGACUCCUGCACUUCUGCCUUGCCUCCCUGCACUUGGGUCCUCCCUGUUUUUGCCUUGCCUUAAAAAAAACCUAAUCAUGACAGACUAAACUGACCAGAACAGGACCCAGCGGGAAGAAAACUGUGUCACCCUGCACUCCACCAGUCUGCCUCUCAGCGCCCUCAGGCUGUCAACCAUACCUACCCUCCUCCAAUUCAGAUUUUUCCGAUUGUGAAGAUGGCCCCGAUUUAGUUGACCUCCUGCCUGAUUCCGACUGACACAGAUUUAGAUUUUUUUUCCAAUUCCUUCCUGAGUUUUUCCCCAUCCUAGUCAGUUUUUGUCACGUCACUCCUUUUCCAACCCCUGUGAGUCAAAGCCCAAGUCCUUUCCCACUGACAUUUACUUGGGCACCAGUUUGGCCAUCUAUCCAGGACCGCCGCGUGGUGGCCAACCGAGGCGCCAAAGUAAAGACAUAAACCACCACGAGUACGGACGCAGACAUGGCUGUUUAUGGCAACGCUGCCAUCUACCUUCGCAAACCAAAGAGGGAGAGAAAUGAGGUUCAGAGCAAAACAUUCGAUGCCAAGACAGCCUGCUAUGUGGCCGUACUUGAAGGGAACAAUCGUCAAGAAAGAUGGUGGGAAAGUCACCAUCAAAUUCCUGGACACUGAGGAGGAGAGGACAGCUAAAGAAGACGUCUGUCCAAUAAACCCUCCCAAGUUAAUAAGUUGUAAUAGUUACAGUUAGUAUAAUCUCAAAGAGCGUUGCUGCAUGGAUGAUCUAUGUAAGACAAUCUGCCAAAUGAGUAGCAAAAGAGCAUAUACAGGACAGUGUCGAUUAAUGUAUAUUUUAAGACAUACAGUAGGCUUAUAGUUAACAGUUUCAUACAUGUGAUCUCUCUCACACCUACUCUGGACUGUUCUCGCGCCACUGUGAACUCCUACAAGUGGCUCACAGUGUAUAAUUCUGAAGUUGUGAGUGCUUAUUGAGGCAAGAAGCGUAUGGAGGCUCCACCCCACAUCUUCUGUCUCUGACAACGCAUAUCAAUUCAUGCUUACUGAUAAGUAAUAAGAUUAACGUAUAAAUUCACAACUAUUUGAGAUGUCUGCGACAGACAUACAUUAUUAUUUUCAUGUUUCUGUUUUAACAGACAGGGAGAACCAGUCCAUCUUUAUCACAUGAGUUAUGUAAACAACACCUGUAAACAUAUUUUAACAAGUUUGUUUCUAUUCCCAAGUGGAGAAUCUGGUCUUUUAAAGACUGUGAACAACAGGCGUGUCAUUCAGUAAUUUGCCACAAUUUGUGGACAUGAGAAAGAAGACCAGGGAAAGUAUCAGGUAUGUUCACUAAGAACUGCAGUCCCUAACAUUAUUGCACCACCGACCUGUUUCACGUGAAGACAUAUUUAAACAGACCAGUAUAAAAAUAAACAAGAACAAAUUAUUACAAAUACAAACCACAAUUACACAAUGUAUUUGUAGGGUUAGGGGUUAGCCUUGUAUCUCUUCAACAAGUCGGUCCUUCUUUUAAAAAUAUAUUUUUUUUUUCAAAAAAACU